This 251-nucleotide ribosomal RNA is filed under the name uncultured bacterium. RNAcentral describes it as "partial 16S ribosomal RNA". It matches the Rfam family "Bacterial small subunit ribosomal RNA", at positions 524 to 776 of the family's 1533-position model. The record is from RNAcentral.
GACGGGGGGGGCAAGUGUUCUUCGGAAUGACUGGGCGUCAAGGGCACGUAGGCGGUGAAUCGGGUUGAAAGUGAAAGUCGCCAAAAAGUGGCGGAAUGCUCUCGAAACCAAUUCACUUGAGUGGGACAGAGGAGAGUGGAAUUUCGUGUGUAGGGGUGAAAUGCGCAGAUAUCAGGAGGAACACCGGUGGCGAAGGCGGGUCUCUGGGCAGUAACUGACGCUGAGGAGCGAAAGCGUGGGUAGCGAACAGG